GGGAAAUCUUACCGGGUCCGGACAUACCGAGGAUUGACAGACUGUUAACUGCAACACAAGCUGCUAAGUUUUAAACUUAAUAGCUCUUUCAUGAUUAUAUGAUAGGUGGUGCAUGGCCGUUCUUAGUUCGUGGAGUGAUCUGUCUGCUUAAUUGCGUUUCAAAAUUUAAACCUGAGCGACAAGGUGCUGCUAUCGAAACUGUCUUUGAGUGUGAACUAUAAGUCUUUUGACUUAUGACCAUCACUCUAGACGUUUAUGUUUUGGUGUUGGCCCUUGAUGCUCAUUUGAACGCAACGGACGUGAUUGCAACCCCUUGUUGAGAUUUAUCCGAUCUCUACGUUCACUGAACCACACUCUUUAGCGAGAGCAGUGGGGAUGUGGAUAAACUCGGGGGACUGCUGACUAUAAACUUUUCUCAAACCAGAGGAAGGUUGCGGCAAUAACAGGUCUGUGAUGCCCUCAGAU
RNAcentral lists this ribosomal RNA (465 nucleotides) under Globigerinoides ruber. RNAcentral's name for it is "SSU rRNA". It matches the Rfam family "Eukaryotic small subunit ribosomal RNA", at positions 1207 to 1478 of the family's 1831-position model. Lineage: Eukaryota; Foraminifera; Rotaliida; Globigerinidae. The record is from RNAcentral.